RNAcentral lists this non-coding RNA (46 nucleotides) under Trichobilharzia regenti. The record is from RNAcentral. Lineage: Eukaryota; Metazoa; Platyhelminthes; Trematoda; Strigeidida; Schistosomatidae.
GUACUGCUGAAGAGUCCGAAACCGGAACGAAACAGCUGUCCAGUAC